CCUACGGGAGGCAGCAGUGAGGAAUAUUGGUCAAUGGGCGGAAGCCUGAACCAGCCAAGUCACGUGAGGGAAUAAGGCCCUGCGGGUCGUAAACCUCUUUUGCCGGGGAGCAAGGGAGGGGACGCGUCCGGACCCGGAGAGUACCCGGAGAAAAAGCAGGGGCGAACUCCGGGCCAGCAGCCGCGGUAAUACGGAGGGUGCGAGCGUUCUCCGGAUUGAUGGGGUUUAAAGGGUGCGUAGGCGGGCUGUCAAGGCGGCGGUCAAAUCUCGGGGCUCAACCUCGGCCUGCCGUCGAAACUGGCGUCCUUGAGUGGGCGAGACGUAUGCGGAAUGCGUGGUGUAGCGG
Molecule: ribosomal RNA, 346 nt
Filed under: uncultured bacterium
Lineage: Bacteria
Description: partial 16S ribosomal RNA
Rfam family: Bacterial small subunit ribosomal RNA
Source: RNAcentral